GGCGAAAACGCAGCAAGCCAUGAUAACGUGAAUCCGCAGAUCAAAUUCAGUUUCGACGUCAAAAUUUUCAAGUGAACCCCGUUUUUCUGUACAUCAACAACAAAUUUAAAAAAAAAAUCCAAAACAUGAACACCUACUGCGGCUGUCCGGUGAUCCGCGUCGUGCCCCCGUUCUCCUACCAGACCGGUCAGCAGUGCACCAUCCUGGACGAUCCAACCCGAAUCCCGAUCUACCGCCGCCAAGCCCCGUUCCGGUCGUUGUUUCGGAAGUUUUUCCUCCGAGGAGACAUCCCGAUAUCCCGCUACUACGGACCGGGGGCAUUCCGGCAGUUCAUCAAUUGGCACGUCCCGCCAAACAAGCUGAUGUACCAGCGCUAUCUGCCAUUGUUUUUCGAUGGCUUGUGUGAGAGCACUUAUCCGUACCGAGAAUUCGCCCGGAACGGUGUCCGGGAAAUGAUUGCGGCAGCUACGGAAAAACAGUUGCUGUGCUGCUUGCCAAUGCUGAUACUGCCAGCGAAACGAGCACUGAAUUCAAAAGAUCCGGAUGUUAUAAUCGCCACACUGAGGGCCAUUCAGCAGCUGGUUCAGGCGGGUCCCUGGAUCGGACGGUGCCUGGUGCCGUACUACCGACAGUUGCUGCCAAUUCUGAACUUGUUCCGCGAUGCCAACGUGAACCUGGGUGACAAAAUCGAUUUCCAGGGUGGACAUCGGCUCGGCGAUGUGAUCGACGCCACGCUGAAUAUCCUGGAGCGAACCGGCGGUCCGGAUGCUUAUCUGAACAUCAAGUACAUGGUCCCGACGUACGAAAGUUGUGUACUGAAUCGAUGAUUCCGGUAAGAAAAAUGGGGACGCGCGGUAGUUUGAAUGGGUUUCUCGUGAAAGCAGCAACGUACGAUGACUGGACUGAUUCUCGGUACGUCAUGCAGGAGUUUCGUUGUCAACGGAACGAACGGAUGGCUUGUGUUCGGAUUGAAUAAGCAGUCCUAUAUUGGUGUUCGGUUUGUGACAUUUUUGGAUUAAGAUUUCCACCCACAGGAACUCGAAAUCUGAUAACAAUCUGAUUCAGUUAUGGCAUUCCGAGCAUCGAACUAUGCAAAUUGAAGAUUUCCUAGCAACGAACUUCCAACAAGGGAACCACCAACCGCAGUUUGCAAUCGCGCAUAUUGCGACCAUAUUCCCAUUCAUCGUGAUGAAAUUGAAUGGAAAAUUGUAAAUCACCGACCUUCACCGACGCCCGAUUACACACCAGCAAAAAAAAAGAAGAAGGAAAAAAUCUAUUCAUCCGUUUCAAAUUAAUUCGAAUGGAAUGAAGCGCCAUUCAAACAACCGAUCAACUACCCUCCAGCAGCCGGGACUGGUUCAAUAUCCUGGCCGGCGGAUAAAUUUCCCUGCUGACUCCAUCCGAAAAGCGCGCGAGUGGGCAAGAAAAAAACGCCGUCGAUCCGAACUUUCCUCGUGAGACCGGCGGCAAAACCGGGAAGGAGAACGACGGGAGAUCGCAGUAUAAGAAAACAUUUCAGCACAGCCCGUUUGAAUGGAAAGAAAAUCGCUUCGGAAAAUAUUGGUUGCCGCGGGAAGGACCGGGACCGAAAAUAGUGUCGCUCUAGGGAAAGCUAGAAAUGGAGUUAUCCCAUUAGAUCGAGAUCCUCCGCACCCUCACUCUUCCACGACCAGAUGCCGCAAAGUUACGAGUUACGAAUGACGACGGUGAAAAUGAAAGAGAGAGAACCAUAGAAAAUAGAAAAAAAAUCUACUCUGGAAUGUUGAAAGUUUCGGUCAAACAAACAAAUUGCUGUCAAUCGGAAACAAUUGGAAGUGGUCCAAGGGAUUGGGCAUCGGUUCCGAACAGUGAAAAACUUUGGUCCGUCCGUCCGUCUAGAUGAAUUAAUUUCACUAAUGGAACGCUUGAAAGGGUCGUGGUUCCGCACUUAGUGAGCUUUUUGUUCGUUUUUUUUUUCUUCGUCUUCAAAUGUCAGCUUCAUUUGAUUGAACCGAACAAAUCUAAUCUAAAUUUGAGAGAUUGAUGUGAGAUAAAGGCAAAUUAAUGGUAAUUAAAGGGGAACUUUGAACGAGACACAAUUGAAAUUUUAAUUGAACUGAAAUAAGAUCAACAUUUAAUGAAAGCCAAGUCGUAUUAUUUCAAAACAGACGAGACCGAAGUCAGUCAUUCAGUCUGUUGGAAACAUCAAUCUUAGUUAAUUUUAAACCAAGCAAUCAACAAAUGGAAAACAACCGAUGCCAGAAGAUGGUCACUGACCACACAAUGAUCCGUUAUCCCUUCGGUGCGGUUCCCAGCUUCCAUUUCAGCCGGACACAAACGGAAAACAUAGAUUGCUGCCUAAACAGUCGUAUCAAAAAUGUUACCGACCCAUUAGGAUUUAUUUCUUAGAAGCUCAAUAUUU
RNA transcript from Malaya genurostris, 2401 nucleotides. It is a transcript of the gene named parkin coregulated gene protein-like, with no coding region annotated. The transcript is spliced from 6 exons. NCBI's taxonomy places the organism in Eukaryota, Metazoa, Arthropoda, Insecta, Diptera, Culicidae. The record is from RefSeq and is a predicted model, not a curated record.